RNAcentral lists this ribosomal RNA (1680 nucleotides) under Triticum aestivum (bread wheat). RNAcentral's name for it is "partial small subunit ribosomal RNA". The record is from RNAcentral. Lineage: Eukaryota; Viridiplantae; Streptophyta; Magnoliopsida; Poales; Poaceae.
AUGGCGAAGAAGGCCGCAAAGCGAGCUGUUGGUGAAGCAAGGGGUCGGGCAUAUGAGGACCUCUACCAACGGUUAGGCACGAAGGAAGGUGAAAGGGACAUCUAUAAGAUGGCUAAGAUCCGUGAGAGGAAGACAAGGGAUAUUGGCCCAGUCAAAUGCAUCAAGGACGGAGCAGGCCAACUCUUGGUGAAGGACAAAGAGAUUAAGCAUAGAUGGCGGGAGUACUUCGACAAGCUGUUCAAUGGGGAGAAUGAGAGUUCUACCAUUGAACUGAAUGACUCCUUUGAUGAGACCAGCAUGCGUUUUGUGCGGCGCAUCCAGGAGUCUGAGGUGAAGGAGGCUUUAAAAAGGAUGAAAGGAGGCAAGGCGAUGGGCCCUGAUUGUAUCCCCAUUGAGGUGUGGAAAGGUCUCGAGGACAUAGCGAUAGUAUGGCUAACCAAACUUUUCAACCUCAUUUUUCGGGCAAACAAGAUGCCAGAAGAAUGGAGACGGAGUAUAUUAGUACCAAUCUUCAAGAACAAGGGGGAUGUUCAGAGUUGUACUAAUUACCGUGGAAUUAAGCUGAUGAGCCAUACAAUGAAGCUAUGGGAGAGAGUCAUUGAGCACCGCUUAAGAAGAAUGACAAGCGUGACUAAAAAUCAGUUUGGUUUCAUGCCUGGGAGGUCGACCAUGGAAGCCAUUUUCUUGGUACGACAACUUAUGAAGAGAUAUAGGGAGCAUAAGAAGGACUUGCAUAUGGUGUUCAUUGACUUGGAGAAGGCCUAUGAUAAGAUACCGCGGAAUGUCAUGUGGUGGGCCUUGGAGAAACACAAAGUCCCAGCAAAGUACAUUACCCUCAUCAAGGACAUGUACAAUAAUGUUGUGACAAGUGUUCGAACAAGUGAUGUCGACACCGAUGACUUCCGGAUUAAGAUAGGACUGCAUCAGGGGUCAGCUUUGAGCCCUUGUCUUUUUGCAUUGGUGAUGGAUGAGGUCACAAGGGGUAUACAAGGAGAUAUCCCAUGGUAUAUGCUCUUUACGGAUGAUGUGGUGCUAGUUGACGAUAGUCGGACGGGGGUAAAUAGGAAGUUAGAGUUAUGGAGACAAACCUUGGAAUCGAAAGGGUUUAGGCUUAGUAGAACUAAAACCGAGUACAUGAUGUGCGGUUUCAGUACUACUAGCUGUGAGGAGGAGGAGGUUAGCCUUGAUGGCCAGGUGGUACCUCGGAAGGACACCUUUCGGUAUUUGGGGUCAAUGUUGCAGGAGGAUGGGGGUAUUGAUGAAGAUGUGAACCAUCGAAUUAAAGCCGGAUGGAUGAAGUGGCGCCAAGCUUCUGGCAUUCUCUGUGACAAGAGAGUGCCACAAAAGCUAAAAGGCAAGUUCUACAGGACGGCGGUUCGACCCGCAAUGUUGUAUGGCGCGGAGUGUUGGCCGACUAAAAGGCGACAUGUUCGACAGUUAGGUGUGGCGGAGAUGCGUAUGUUGAGAUGGAUGUGUGGCCACACGAGGAAGGAUCGAGUCCGGAAUGAUGAUAUACGAGAUAGAGUUGGGGUAGCACCAAUUGAGGAGAAGCUUGUCCAACAUCGUUUGAGAUGGUUUGGGCAUAUUCAGCGCAGGCCUCCAGAAGCUGCAGUACAUAGCGGACGGCUAAAGCGUGCGGAGAAUGUCAAGAGAGGGCGGGGUCGACCGAUUUUGACAUGA